AGAGUUGAUCAUGGCUCAGGAUGAACGCUAGCGACAGGCUAACACAUGCAAGUCGAGGGCAGCAUAAAAGUAGCAAUACUUGGUGGCGACCGGCGCACGGGUGAGUAACGCGUAUGCAACCUACCUAUCAGAGGGGAAUAACCCGGCGAAAGUCGGACUAAUACCGCAUAAAACAGGGGCACCGCAUGGUGAUAUUUGUUAAAGAAAUUCGCUGAUAGAUGGGCAUGCGUUCCAUUAGGUAGUUGGUGAGGUAACGGCUCACCAAGCCGACGAUGGAUAGGGGAACUGAGAGGUUGGUCCCCCACACUGGUACUGAGACACGGACCAGACUCCUACGGGAGGCAGCAGUGAGGAAUAUUGGUCAAUGGGCGAGAGCCUGAACCAGCCAAGUCGCGUGAAGGAAGAAGGAUCUAUGGUUCGUAAACUUCUUUUGCAGGGGAAUAAAGUGCAGGACGUGUCCUGUUUUGUAUGUACCCUGAGAAUAAGGAUCGGCUAACUCCGUGCCAGCAGCCGC
This 514-nucleotide ribosomal RNA is filed under the name uncultured bacterium. RNAcentral's name for it is "bacterial SSU rRNA". It matches the Rfam family "Bacterial small subunit ribosomal RNA", at positions 8 to 518 of the family's 1533-position model. The record is from RNAcentral.